This 436-nucleotide ribosomal RNA is filed under the name uncultured bacterium. RNAcentral's name for it is "bacterial SSU rRNA". It matches the Rfam family "Bacterial small subunit ribosomal RNA", at positions 343 to 797 of the family's 1533-position model. The record is from RNAcentral.
AGGAGGCAGCAGUGGGGAAUUUUCCGCAAUGGGCGAAAGCCUGACGGAGCAAUACCGCGUGAGGGAAGAAGGCUCUUGGGUUGUAAACCUCAGAACUUAGGGAAGAGAAAGGACGGUACCUAAUAUAAGCAUCGGCUAACUCCGUGCCAGCAGCCGCGGUAAUACGGGGGAUGCAAGCGUUAUCCGGAAUAAUUGGGCGUAAAGAGUCCGUAGGUGGCACUUCAAGUCUGUGGUCAAAGACAGAAGCUCAACUUCUGGAAGGUGAUGGAAACUGAAGAGCUAGAGUACAGGAGGGGUAGAGGGAAUUCCCAGUGUAGCGGUGAAAUGCGUAGAGACUGGGAAGAACACCAGUGGCGAAGGCGCUCUACUGGACUGAAACUGACACUGAGGGACGAAAGCUAAGGUAGCGAAAGGGAUUAGAAACCCCUGUAGUCCU